This 502-nucleotide ribosomal RNA is filed under the name uncultured bacterium. Its description in RNAcentral is "partial 16S ribosomal RNA". It matches the Rfam family "Bacterial small subunit ribosomal RNA", at positions 30 to 523 of the family's 1533-position model. The record is from RNAcentral.
AUUGAACGCUGGCGGAAUGCUUUACACAUGCAAGUCGAACGGCAGCGCGGGUGCUUGCACCUGGCGGCGAGUGGCGAACGGGUGAGUAACAUAUCGGAACGUGCCCAGUAAUGGGGGAUAACUAAUCGAAAGGUUAGCUAAUACCGCAUACGCCCUGAGGGGGAAAGCGGGGGAUCGUAAGACCUCGCGUUAUUGGAGCGGCCGAUAUCUGAUUAGCUAGUUGGUAGGGUAAAGGCCUACCAAGGCGACGAUCAGUAGCUGGUCUGAGAGGAUGAUCAGCCACACUGGGACUGAGACACGGCCCAGACUCCUACGGGAGGCAGCAGUGGGGAAUUUUGGACAAUGGGCGAAAGCCUGAUCCAGCCAUUCCGCGUGAGUGAAGAAGGCCUUCGGGUCGUAAAGCUCUUUCGGCAGGAACGAAACAGUGCUCCCUAAUACGGAGUGCUAAUGACGGUACCUGGAGAAGAAGCACCGGCUAACUACGUGCCAGCCGCCGCCGUAA